Molecule: ribosomal RNA, 523 nt
Filed under: uncultured bacterium
Lineage: Bacteria
Description: partial 16S ribosomal RNA
Rfam family: Bacterial small subunit ribosomal RNA
Source: RNAcentral
GACGAACGCUGGCGGCGCGCCUAAUACAUGCAAGUCGAACGAAGCUGUUUUAACUGGUGCUUGCACCGACUUAAACAACUGAGUGGCGAACGGGUGAGUAACACGUGGGUAACCUGCCCCAAAGCGGGGGAUAACAUUUGGAAACAGAUGCUAAUACCGCAUAACCACAGAAACCACAUGGUUUCUGUGUCAAAGAUGGUUUCGGCUAUCACUUUGGGAUGGACCCGCGGCGUAUUAGCUAGUUGGUAAGGUAAUGGCUUACCAAGGCAAUGAUACGUAGCCGAACUGAGAGGUUGAUCGGCCACAUUGGGACUGAGACACGGCCCAAACUCCUACGGGAGGCAGCAGUAGGGAAUCUUCCACAAUGGACGAAAGUCUGAUGGAGCAACGCCGCGUGAGUGAAGAAGGUUUCCGGAUCGUAAAACUCUGUUGUCAGAGAAGAACGUGUGCGAGAGUAACUGCUCGUGCAGUGACGGUAUCUGGCCAGAAGCCACGGCUAACUACGUGCCAGCCGCCGCAGUAA